AGAACGAACGCUGGCGGCAGGCCUAACACAUGCAAGUCGAACGGAUGUAGCAAUACAUUAGUGGCGCACGGGUGAGUAACGCGUGGGAACGUGCCUUUCAGUACGGAAUAACGUCGGGAAACUGACGCUAAUACCGUAUAUUCCCGAGAGGGGAAAGAUUUAUCGCUGAAAGAUCGGCCCGCGUCAGAUUAGCUAGUUGGUGAGGUAAUGGCUCACCAAGGCUCCGAUCUGUAGCUGUUCUGAGAGGAAGAUCAGCCACACUGGAACUGAGAUACGGUCCAGACUCCUACGGGAGGCAGCAGUGGGGAAUAUUGGACAAUGGGCGAAAGCCUGAUCCAGCCAUGCCGCGUGAAUGAUGAAGGCCUUAGGGUUGUAAAGUUCUUUUGCCGGGGACGAUGAUGACGGUACCCGGAGAAUAAGACACGGCUAACUUCGUGCCAGCAGCCGCGGUAAUACGAAGGUGUCUAGCGUUGUUCGGAAUUACUGGGCGUAAAGCGCGCGUAGGCGGCGCAUUAAGUCAGAGGUGAAAGCCUGGAGCUCAACUCCAGAACUGCCUUUGAAACUGGUGCGCUAGAGUGCAAAAGAGGGUAGUGGAAUUCCGAAUGUAGCGGUGAAAUGCGUAGAUAUUCGGAGGAACACCAGUGGCGAAGGCGACUACCUGGUUUGCAACUGACGCUCUGGCGCGAAAGCGUGGGGAUCAAACAGGAUUAGAUACCCUGGUAGUCCACGCUGUAAACGAUGAGUGCUAGCUGUUGGGGGGUUACCACUCAGUGGCGAAGUUAACGCAUGAAGCACUCCGCCUGGGGAGUACGGCCGCAAGGUUAAAACUCAAAGGAAUUGACGGGGACCCGCACAAGCGGUGGAGCAUGUGGUUUAAUUCGAGGCAACGCGAAGAACCUUACCAGGCCUUGACAUGGGUAGUUUGGGGUAGAGAAAUUUACUCCUUCAGUUCGGCUGGCUACCACACAGGUGCUGCAUGGCUGUCGUCAGCUCGUGUCGUGAGAUGUUGGGUUAAGUCCCGCAACGAGCGCAACCCUCACCCUCUGUUGCUAACAGGUAAUGCUGAGAACUCUGAGGGAACUGCCGGUAAUAAGCCGGAGGAAGGCGGGGAUGACGUCAAGUCAUCAUGGCCCUUACGGCCUGGGCUACACACGUGCUACAAUGGUGGUGACAAUGGGCUGCUACCUCGCGAGAGGAUGCGAAUCUCAAAAAGCCACCUCAGUUCAGAUUGUACUCUGCAACUCGAGUACAUGAAGUUGGAAUCGCUAGUAAUCGCGCAUCAGCAUGGCGCGGUGAAUACGUUCCCGGGUCUUGUACAC
Molecule: ribosomal RNA, 1319 nt
Filed under: metagenome
Description: bacterial SSU rRNA
Rfam family: Bacterial small subunit ribosomal RNA
Source: RNAcentral